RNAcentral lists this ribosomal RNA (253 nucleotides) under uncultured bacterium. RNAcentral describes it as "partial 16S ribosomal RNA". It matches the Rfam family "Bacterial small subunit ribosomal RNA", at positions 524 to 776 of the family's 1533-position model. The record is from RNAcentral.
UACGAGGGGGGCGAGCGUUGUUCGGAAAUAUUGGGCGUAAAGGGUGCGUAGGCGGUUUGGUAAGUCUGAUGUGAAAUCUAUGGGCUCAACUCAUAGUCUGCAUCGGAAACUGCCGGGCUUGAGUGUGGGAGAGGUGAGUGGAAUUCCUGGUGUAGCGGUGAAAUGCGUAGAUAUCAGGAGGAACACCUGUGGCGAAAGCGGCUCACUGGACCAUAACUGACGCUGAUGCACGAAAGCUAGGGGAGCAAACGGG